AGCGAGGGAAUGGUAUGAAUUUUUCGGAAGGAUUACCAAGACCGAGCGGCGGAUGGGUGAGUAACACGUAGGGAACCUACCAAACAGACGGGGAUACCACUUGGAAACAAGUGCUAAUACCGGAUAAACAACAAUAUCGCAUGAUAUAGUGAGGAAAGGCGGCGAAAGCUGUCGCUGAUUGAUGGACCUGCGGCGUAUUAGCUAGUUGGGGAGGUAAAGGCUCACCAAGGCGAUGAUACGUAGCCGACCUGAGAGGGUAAACGGCCACAUUGGGACUGAGACACGGCCCAAACUCCUACGGGAGGCAGCAGUAGGGAAUUUUCCACAAUGGACGAAAGUCUGAUGGAGCAACGCCGCGUGAGUGAAGAAGGUUUUCGGAUUGUAAAGCUCUGUUGUUAAAGAAGAAGGGUAUGUAGAGUAACUGAUAUAUACUUGACGGUAUUUAACGAGGAAGUCACGGCUAACUACGUG
RNAcentral lists this ribosomal RNA (471 nucleotides) under uncultured bacterium. Its description in RNAcentral is "bacterial SSU rRNA". It matches the Rfam family "Bacterial small subunit ribosomal RNA", at positions 65 to 507 of the family's 1533-position model. The record is from RNAcentral.